AAAACUUUUCAGCUAGAGUAUGAUAGAGGAAAGCAGAAUUUCUAGUGUAGAGGUGAAAUUCGUAGAUAUUAGAAAGAAUACCCAAUUGCGAAGGCAGCUUUCUGGAUCAUUACUGACACUGAGGAACGAAAGCAUGGGUAGCGAAGAGGAUUAGAUACCCUCGUAGUCCAUGCCGUAAACGAUGUGUGUUAGACGUUGGAAAUUUAUUUUCAGUGUCGCAGGGAAACCGAUAAACACACCGCCUGGGGAGUACGACCGCAAGGUUAAAACUCAAAUGAAUUGACGGGGACCCGCACAAGUAGUGGAGCAUGUGGUUUAAUUCGAAGAUACGCGCAGAACCUUACCAACACUUGACAUGUUCGUCGCGACUCUAAGAGAUUAGAGUUUUCGGUUCGGCCGGACGAAACACAGGUGCUGCAUGGCUGUCGUCAGCUCGUGUCGUGAGAUGUUGGGUUAAGUCCCGCAACGAGCGCAACCCUCACUUUUAGUUGCCAUCAUUAAGUUGGGCACUCUGAAAGAACUGCCAGUGAUAAGCUGGAGGAAGGUGGGGAUGACGUCAAGUCCUCAUGGCCCUUACGUGUUGGGCUACACACGUGCUACAAUGGUAUCUACAACAGGAAGCAAAACUGCGAAGUUAAGCAAAUCCCUAAAAGAUACCUCAGUUCGGAUUGCACUCUGCAACUCGAGUGCAUGAAGCUGGAAUUACUAGUAAUCGUGGAUCAGCGUGCCACGGUGAAUGCGUUCCCGGGUCUUGUACACACCGCCCGUCACACCAUGGGAGUUGGUUCUACCUUAAGGCAAGGUUUCAAACCCUUGACCACGGUAUAGUCAGCGACUGGGGUGAAGUCGUAACAAGGUAGCCGUA
Molecule: ribosomal RNA, 865 nt
Filed under: uncultured bacterium
Lineage: Bacteria
Description: bacterial SSU rRNA
Rfam family: Bacterial small subunit ribosomal RNA
Source: RNAcentral